CAGCCGCCACGGGAAUACGAAGGGGGCUAGCGUUGCUCGGAAUGACUGGGCGUAAAGGGCGCGUAGGCGGCGGCCAAAGUCAGACGUGAAAUUCCUGGGCUCAACCUGGGGGCUGCGUUUGAUACUUGGUUGCUUGAGUGGGGAAGAGGGUCGUGGAAUUCCCAGUGUAGAGGUGAAAUUCGUAGAUAUUGGGAAGAACACCGGUGGCGAAGGCGGCGACCUGGUCCUUGACUGACGCUGAGGCGCGAAAGCGUGGGGAGCAAACAGGAUUAGAUACCCCUGUAGUCCCUGUCUCUUAUAC
This 301-nucleotide ribosomal RNA is filed under the name uncultured bacterium. RNAcentral describes it as "partial 16S ribosomal RNA". It matches the Rfam family "Bacterial small subunit ribosomal RNA", at positions 509 to 807 of the family's 1533-position model. The record is from RNAcentral.